Molecule: ribosomal RNA, 305 nt
Filed under: uncultured bacterium
Lineage: Bacteria
Description: bacterial SSU rRNA
Rfam family: Bacterial small subunit ribosomal RNA
Source: RNAcentral
UUUCCUACGGGGGGCAGCAGUCGGGAAUAUUGCGCAAUGGAGGAAACUCUGACGCAGUGACGCCGCGUAUAGGAAGAAGGUCUUCGGAUUGUAAACUAUUGUCAUUAGGGAAGAGAAAGGACAGUACCUAAAGAGGAAGCUCCGGCUAACUACGUGCCAGCAGCCGCGGUAAUACGUAGGGAGCAAGCGUUAUCCGGAUUUAUUGGGUUUAAAGGGUGCGCAGGCGGUCUGUUAAGUCAGCGGUCAAAGCCCGGGGCUCAACCCCGGCCCGCCGUUGAAACUGGCAGUCUCGAGUUGGAGAGAAG